UCGUCCCUCCGUCGUCCGCCACGCCCCAUCCCCCCGUCCCCACCCACCAGGCCCCGCUUUCUUCCCCCAAGAAAGCCUUAUGGCGAUGGCACCAUCUAAAUCGACGGGCGGUCCGGCGGCCGGCAACGGCCGGUGGCCGCAUGCGCCUCUCUACCCAGAGCAGUCCCGUCACUCUUUCCUAAUUAGGCGAUGGCACCUACGGAAUCCGCGAGCUGUCCGGCGGCCAGCCACGGCACACGGAUGAGGGGAUGCCUCACUCACCUUCUACGCCUGCCCGAGCGAGGACGGGAUGGGGGCGAUGCGACGGCGCGCGUGUGCUCCGCCAUCCGCCAGCUUCGUCCUCAUCCGCGUGAGGGUACUUAUGUGAAAGGAUUGUAGAAGAGGUUAUAUCACCUGCGGCUGCACACACACACUCUUAUAGCAUCUGGAGAAGACAAUGGCAGGAGCUCUGCCUUUUCAUUAAAGAAGUGGGAAAUCUUUACAAGCUGAAAACAGCUGGGAUGAAACGAAAAGGAAAGAAAACAACCACUCAGGCAGCUACUCCCUGAAAGCCCAUUCUCGAAAAAAAAAACUCCCUGAAAACCACCAUCUGCGACUGAAGAUCUGCACGGAUGAGAGACACUGCCUCAUCAGACGAGGCUUCCUUCUUAUCAAACCCUCUACGAUUACGCUCUUUCCACAGAUGCCACACAACAUAUGCCGACAUGAUUAUCAUCCGCCUGCUCUGUUUUUUUUUCAUGUCUUGAUUCAUGAGCAGCUUUUCUCUACCAUUCACAGAUGGACCAAGAGCUGAGAGCGGUCUCAGAUGGCCAGGAUUCAAGGAGUCGAAUGCAAACCAGAUAGGUCUUUGCAAAAGGGCAGACCAAUGCCAGAUGUGCAGCAGACUCCAUUUCUUGAUCACAAAGGGAACAAUGAUCAUUGUGCCAUCCUGUUUCCAACCUGAAUCUGAGUACAAGCCGCAAAGAGCUGACGGUCAGAAGCAUCGCAUGGAACCUGCAUGCCUUUCUAAGGUCUAUCCAUAGAUUCUCACAAAGAGCUGACGGUCAGAAGCAUCGCAUGAAGCCGCAAAGGUCUAAUUUAUUGGAGACGGAUGG
Molecule: long non-coding RNA, 1094 nt
Organism: Hordeum vulgare subsp. vulgare (domesticated barley)
Lineage: Eukaryota; Viridiplantae; Streptophyta; Magnoliopsida; Poales; Poaceae
Exons: 3
Source: RefSeq, a predicted model, not a curated record